Molecule: ribosomal RNA, 540 nt
Filed under: Penicillium biourgeianum
Lineage: Eukaryota; Fungi; Ascomycota; Eurotiomycetes; Eurotiales; Aspergillaceae
Description: eukaryotic LSU rRNA
Rfam family: 5.8S ribosomal RNA (bases 160-313)
Source: RNAcentral
CUCUGGGUCCACCUCCCACCCGUGUUUAUUUACCUUGUUGCUUCGGCGAGCCUGCCUUUUGGCUGCCGGGGGACGUCAGUCCCCGGGUCCGUGCUCGCCGGAGACACCUUAGAACUCUGUCUGAAGAUUGUAGUCUGAGAUUAAAUAUAAAUUAUUUAAAACUUUCAACAACGGAUCUCUUGGUUCCGGCAUCGAUGAAGAACGCAGCGAAAUGCGAUACGUAAUGUGAAUUGCAGAAUUCAGUGAAUCAUCGAGUCUUUGAACGCACAUUGCGCCCUCUGGUAUUCCGGAGGGCAUGCCUGUCCGAGCGUCAUUGCUGCCCUCAAGCACGGCUUGUGUGUUGGGCCCCGUCCUCCUUCCGGGGGACGGGUCCGAAAGGCAGCGGCGGCACCGCGUCCGGUCCUCAAGCGUAUGGGGCUUUGUCACUCGCUUUGUAGGCCUGGCCGGCGCUUGCCGAUCAACCAAACUUUUUAUCAGGUUGACCUCGGAUCAGGUAGGGAUACCCGCUGAACUUAAGCAUAUCAAUAAGCGGAGGAAAAG